RNAcentral lists this ribosomal RNA (378 nucleotides) under Triticum aestivum (bread wheat). RNAcentral describes it as "partial small subunit ribosomal RNA". The record is from RNAcentral. Lineage: Eukaryota; Viridiplantae; Streptophyta; Magnoliopsida; Poales; Poaceae.
AUGGACAUGGAUCCGGACGACUACUCGGUGCCAACCCAAAUAAGAAGAGGGGACAUGAUUUCUCCAUCGAGGAUAAUGAAUUGUUGUGUGAGGCGUGGUUGGCCACUAGUAUUGAUCUGUUUCAUGGCAUGGAGCAAAAAGACAUGGCAUUUUGGCAAAGUGUGCAUGAUUGGUUUCACAAGCAAAAGUAUUGCGAUGUGUACCGCAUCGGAAGUGAUCAUGAUCGCAAUCCGAAGUCGCUCGGCCAUCGAUGGUACAACAUUCAAGAGGUUGUCAGUAAGUAGUGUGGCUUUUUACAAACAAGUGCAUGACCAGUGGCCAAAUGGCGCAGCACUCCAAAAGCAAGUAAGUUGUGUGGCUUGUUACUCCACGUGUUAG